RNAcentral lists this ribosomal RNA (253 nucleotides) under uncultured bacterium. Its description in RNAcentral is "partial 16S ribosomal RNA". It matches the Rfam family "Bacterial small subunit ribosomal RNA", at positions 524 to 776 of the family's 1533-position model. The record is from RNAcentral.
UACGAAGGGGGCUAGCGUUGCUCGGAUUCACUGGGCGUAAAGGGUGCGUAGGCGGGUCUUUAAGUCAGGGGGGAAAUCCUGGAGCUCAACUCCAGAACUGCCUUUGAUACUGAGGAUCUUGAGUUCGGGAGAGGUGAGUGGAACUGCGAGUGUAGAGGUGAAAUUCGUAGAUAUUCGCAAGAACACCAGUGGCGAAGGCGGCUCACUGGCCCGAUACUGACGCUGAGGCACGAAAGCGUGGGGAGCAAACAGG